RNAcentral lists this ribosomal RNA (102 nucleotides) under uncultured bacterium. Its description in RNAcentral is "partial 16S ribosomal RNA". The record is from RNAcentral.
CCCGCCCGUCACACCAGUGGGUAGUUGUAUUGCCUCCAAGAAGUGGCUGAGCUAACCCCGCAAGGGGAGCAGGUCCCCAAGGAGUGGUCGAUGACUGGGGUG